Molecule: RNA transcript, 9470 nt
Organism: Dromaius novaehollandiae (emu)
Lineage: Eukaryota; Metazoa; Chordata; Aves; Casuariiformes; Dromaiidae
Gene: WDFY2
Gene name: WD repeat and FYVE domain containing 2
Exons: 13
Source: RefSeq, a predicted model, not a curated record
CCACGCUCCGCCCGCCCCGCGGCUGCCAGCCCGGCCCUGCUUCCCAGGGAGCCCGCGGGGCGGCCGGGGGAUGCGCCGGGGCGCCCGGCACCAGCAAGUCCCUCCUCCGCCGCCGCCUCCUGCCGCCGCGCCUGUGCGGCCGCCUCCCCCCGCAGCAGCGCCGGUGCCCGGCCGCGGCGCCCAUGGCGGCCGAGCCGCAGCCCAAGGCGCUCACCCGCAAGCCCCUCCUGCUGCACAAGGUGGAGGGCUCGCAGGAGGUGGUGAACAUGGCAGCGAUUGUGCCCAAGGAGGACGGGGUCAUCAGCGUCUCCGAGGACAGAACGGUUCGUGUCUGGCUGAAGAGAGACAGUGGACAGUACUGGCCCAGCAUAUACCAUGCAAUGCCAUCUCCAUGUUCAUGCAUGUCUUUUAACCCGGAAACCAGAAGGCUGUCCAUAGGUCUAGACAAUGGUACAAUCUCAGAAUUCAUUUUGUCAGAAGAUUACAACAAGAUGACACUAGUGAAAAGUUACCAGGCUCAUCAAAGCAGGGUCAUGAUGAUCCUGUUUGUCCUGGAGAUGGAGUGGGUGUUAAGUACUGGACAAGACAAGCACUUCACAUGGCACUGCUCGGAGAGUGGCCAGCGGCUCGGAGGGUACCGCACCAACGCAGGGGCCUGUGGCCUGCAAUUUGAUGUGGAAACUCGGCAUGUGUUUGUUGGUGAUCACUCUGGACAAGUGACCAUACUCAAACUAGAGCAAGAGUCCUGCAGCCUCGUUACAACAUUUAAGGGACACACAGGUGGUGUCACUGCUCUCUGUUGGGACCCAGUACAGCGAGUUUUAUUCUCGGGCAGUUCAGAUCAUUCCAUUAUAAUGUGGGAUAUUGGAGGAAGAAAAGGAACAGCCAUCGAGCUGCAAGGGCAUAAUGACAAAGUUCAGUCUCUCUCUUAUGCUCACCACACUCGACAGCUCAUCUCUUGCGGUGCAGACGGUGGCAUCGUUGUCUGGAACAUGGAUGUUGAGAGACAGGAGACACCCGAAUGGUUGGACAGCGACUCCUGUCAAAAAUGUGACCAGCCUUUCUUCUGGAACUUCAAACAGAUGUGGGACAAUAAGAAAAUAGGCCUCAGGCAGCAUCACUGCCGGAAGUGUGGGAAAGCUGUGUGUGGUAAAUGCAGUUCCAAGCGCUCCUCCAUCCCGCUGAUGGGAUUUGAGUUUGAAGUGAGGGUCUGCGAUAGCUGUCACGAGUCCAUAACAGAUGAAGAGCGGGCACCCACGGCUACUUUCCAUGACAGUAAGCACAACAUAGUUCAUGUACACUUUGAUGCCACCAGGGGAUGGCUGUUGACCUCGGGGACAGACAAAGUUAUUAAGUUGUGGGAUAUGACACCAGUAGUAUCUUGAUGAUACAUCAGUGGAACUUGGAAGGUGGUAUUUACAGAAGAAACGGAUUCCUAACCCUAAUCAUACUGCAGAAGAUAGGUAACGCUGGGCGCCUGUGGCAGAUGAGGAAGGAACUAAUGCGUUUACAACAAUUUUAUGUCCUCUGCUUGAUCAAGGCUGAACAUUUGCACGAAGACUCUUUCCAUUUAUUCUCAAAAUAUACAAGAAGAGGGAUCAUAUCUGAAAAAUCAUCUCUCAAUUCCUGUAAUCCAUUUCGCUUUUAAACACACCAUUGUUGGUGCUCUUGGAAGGAACUGGCUUAGGAAACAGAGCUGCAGAGCAGACCGAGGAGUUUCCUGUCUCUCCUAUUUAAGCAGGUCUGGUGGUCUGAAUUGUUGUGACCAGCAACUCAUUGGUGCUCAAUUUUGCCCCAUUUUGUACUUUCCUUUUCCCCCCUAAAGUGGGGAGGUGAUUAUUUUUACCACUGUAAAAGCACAUUGCUACGUAGAGAAAAGUCACAUUUGGUGUUGAGUGAUAACUCUAAAAGAAGGUAAAGCUUCUCCUUUGCUUGCCUGGCUGUAAUUCAUGUUUGAGCAGGGCAAGGGGGAGGGGGGAAGCAAUCUGUGGCAUUAAUUCUUGGCUGAUUAAUUGCCACAGUAAAGGGUGAGUAGUGUAUGUGGUAGGACUGCUACAUAUUUUCAAGGAAUUUUUUCUUUUUAUGCACCCUAGGAAGUGGGCUCAAGCAUUUUGCAAUCCUGUUGUCUGAAAUCAUGCCACUCUGGCUUUCCUGGCCAUAAAGCCUGUUGGUCCCCCUGUAGGCAGUGUAUUUUAAUGCACAUUCUCAAACAUGAUUCACAUAGCACUAAAAAGAUUCUUUUUUCCAGUUUAAAUGUUAAUUCUUUUGUAAGUCCUCCUACUUUCUCUCCUGGAAGCUGGAUGUUUGUUUCCUCUUGGACGGCUUUUCAUUCCACCUUGUGCACAUUUUCUGAUGACUGAAGUGUUCUUGGCUGACGAAGCUAGGCAAGAUGAGCGAGUGGCCUGCCAAGGUUUCAUUUCAGCUGGAGAAGGUGUGUGCAACUUUGCUGGACUAUGCUGUUCUACAUUACCUUGGACUCAGGGCCUUUUGGCCAAAGACAGAUCUGCAUUGCUGCCACACAGAAUAUUUCACACACAGGCAGAAACAUGGGAGCACUGAAGUAGACUUAAAUCACUGCUCAGCUUGUGUUCCUGAGGAGAUGAAACGGCUGCAACAAGCCUGGAUACAGCGUGAAUUGUGCUUAUCUUAACAGAACUGUGAAAUCGGCAGGCUGAGGAUCUGCCUCUGGGUCAAUACUCAGUCCUUUUGUACCAUGUGAAAAUUCAAAUAAAAGUGGGAGGCCAAACUCUAAAGAAGACUAUAUCUGGGAGCAAGGUGUGUUUGGACUACUCUGCAGUAAACUCCUGGACCCCCUUCCCUUCCCAAGGAGUUGUGGUUUCAGUGUCGCAAAGAAACUUAUGGGUGCUGGCUAUACAAAUCCAUUUUGUAAAAUGUCCCUUUCUGUUUUUUCUGACUAAAGUACCUGCAGGGUUAUCUGAAUUUAACUUGAAUGUCCCAGUGUCUUGCAGUCUCAGGAUAAAAUGCUCCUGGCUUAGGAAAUCAUAUAAGCUGAAGGGGGAGCUGGAGCUGGGGCUGGGGGCGGGGGGAGGUGGAAGGGAAGUGUGUCCCCUUGCUAUCAUCUUAAAAGAUAUAAUGUAGAGAUAUCAAGGGAAAAUAGGCAUGUGUAACUCAUACAGUAAUUGCUUUACCUCCCAAAUGAAACUAGAAGAAUUUGACAUUGGGAGAGGUAAAAAUGCCUCCCCUCCUCUACUGCUUGUUAGUGUAACAGUAUUGAUUUCUUUUGUCGUUUUGAUCAGCACAAAUAGGGAUCCCUGCUGCCUGGGCCUUUCUUUCCGUUUUAGUUGCAGAAUAACAAACCUGAGCUAUUUUUAUGAAUUGCCCUCUUUGGAGGGGGUAGAGUGUGUUUCAGUGCAGGUGCAUACUCUGCAAUGCCCCCACAAUAUUUUCUGCUGUGCCAAUGGGCACGCAACCAAUGCCAGUCUUCCUCUGCUCUUGAGUUUAGAACAAAUAGAUUUUCAUCUCUCUCUUAACUUGCGUUUCUUUGGGGGAAGAAGUUGUGCUUUUCAGAGAAUCUCCUGCAAUUUCUAGUUUUAAAAAUGAACAGCAGCUGUAGUGCUUACGCAGUAGUGGGGCAGACAUUGGUCCCGUACCUAGUGCCUGAGCAGCAGACUUGAGCCAUGCAUGUACCGGGCAGCUGAAGGAAGAUAGAUCUCAGACCUGGAGUCUCCUUGGCUCCAGACUUUGAAGCUGAAAAUAGAUGAAGGCAAAAAGUAUGUGGGCAGCUGCUUGCCAGGGUAACACUGAUGUUUCUUCCUUCUAGGGGAAGCUAACCUCACGGUUAGUCAUUUUGAAACCAGGUAGUGCUAAGGGUUAAAAGUUGGGCAUUAUUAGAGAGACUAGUUCCGUAUGCUGGUGGCAUUAGUGUGCCCAUCUGCUAGCACUCUUGUUUACAGCUACUUCUCAGAGGAAAGCCCAAGUGACCUCCCCACCUCAAUCUUGUGAACUUGAGACCACCACCUGAAUGUCAGUGCAUUACCUCUUAGGGCAUCAGAAGGGAAAACUGCGUAUGUAUGUUGUGCUUUGUCUGGGAGAGUGAUAUGACUAUCUUCAGCACGGGGAAAAGGAGGGAUGUGUUGCCUGUGCUUGGGGUUGGUUGCUGAUAAGAAGGUGGACUGUUGGACACACAAAAAGGGUUGUGCAGGAUCCAGAAAAAGCUGUAGAAAGAAAACAUUUGCUUGUUUCCUCAGCUUGCCCACUGAGGAAAUCACUGUUGGAGAGGAAUUUGCAUAUUUUUCUCUAGAGGAGCCCACCAAACACUUCCAUCUACUGUGUGACUUAAAAAAUGAAGAAAAGAUGUAUCUUUCUUUAAAUCUAAAAUAUUAGGGCUAUUGCCUGUAUUUGUGAAUGCUACAUAUGACUGUCCUCACUGUUUACAAUAGGGUUUGGGUAAGAACAACUAAAAUUCAGUUUUGUAGCAUGUAGAAGAUAGUUCUACAGUGUGUGGUUUGGCAUGCCCUGAUCCUUUCCAGGAGACCUCAGGGAGCAAAUGGGAUGUUUUCAGUUAUGAGUUAAAGGCUUUGUUUCUAUAUGUGACAAUAGAAUGCAGCAAUAACAACAAGCUUGCUCCCAUUUCAGGAUGGAUUAAUGUGCUGAGUCCCUUCAGCAUCAGCCUCUUGUGUAAUACUGAUGGAAAGGAGGAGCCAGCUUUUCUCUCCAAAAUCACAUGUGAAAAUUGGCAGAAAAUCUUUGAACCUUAGAAGAACUCCCCUAGUUUGACCAAUAACCUGAAGUUCCUAAAUUUAAGUUUCAGAGAUUAACUCUUCGUGGUUGCAUGUAACUUUUUAUUGCAUUUCCCCAGUUCAGGGGGGACUUUGAACUCAACCUCUUCUGUUCUUAGCAGCACAACGUUGUCCUGCAGCAAACCAUCAGAGAUGGUCGAAGACAAGCCACAGUGCAAAGGCAUUGAAAUCGCUGCCAUGUAGGGACAUCAAACUCAAAACAAAAUGGAAACAAAACAGCACAGUCUACUGGCAAAGUGAUUGCAAAGGAAAGAUGCCAAGAAUGAAUGUUAUCGGCAUACAAAAAGAGCCAGUAGUCUAGAAGUGAAUAUUCAUCAGAAUUGUACAAAGAUGAACCAUCUCAGUCCUCACAUUAUAAGCCAACCAGCAGUCCUGGUCAGGACCCAGAUGCCACGAGGAAUAGAGUUGUUCUGGUGAGGGGGUGGUAGACUGAACCUAUGAAGAUCUAACUUGUUUCUUGUUCUUUCUUAGUUGCCUACUAGUAGCAUCUGCCUACCUCAAGGAGUGCUGAGAAAUGCGUUAAAUGUGGAUGCACUUAGAUAUUUAAAUGAUGGGAGAGAGACAUAACUAUUGACAUGGUGCUGGGAGGUGUCAGGCCUUAAGGAGAUGCUGGUUCUGCCCCUCUCCAGUUACUUGUUCCUGUAUAUUAAAUAAUCUCAAUGUAUUAAAAGUUUUAUCACCUUUACACUUUCCAAGCUUGUUCGCACAUUUUUUUCCUCCCUAUUACCAGAAUUCAGCAACUUUGUAGAUACUAACCAAUACAAAUACUUUGUAGCAGGUCUGGGCUUUCCUCAGAUUUGAAAGACUCACUCACUAAGCCCUCAACUUUGUCCUGUCCCAAGAAAAUGUCUCUACUAAUUCUGUGGGAUUGCUGCUACCAAGUAUUCAAUAAAGUUUCAGCAAAAAUGAGUGCAUGAACUUAAUUCAUCCUUAGUUUCAAAUUAUUUUCUCUGAAAUUUUCACCACUCUGUCUUUGAUGUUGAGUAAAAUCUUAUUUCUUCUUCUCGCACCCUGCCUGCAGCCAAUACCAUAGUUCUCUGGCUUACAGCUCGGAUGUAAACCUGAUUAUCUCUGGUUUGGACACUGAAGUUACGUGCUCAGUGUCCAGACAGUACUGCAGCAAACAAAGAUACACAGCUGAAGUUAUGCUGUAAGAACAGGAUGACCAAUAAAAGCCACAUACUGAUAAAUACCAUCUACCAGGCAUCUGCUGUAUGACAUUGUUACUUCAGAAAAUCUGGUUUUUCUUGACUAGUCCAAAUGUGUGAUUUAGUUUUCCAAAGUCUGCAAAGGAAUUUUGACUGUCUUUGUUUGGUUAGUUCUCAAGUCCACCAUACUAACCAAUACAACUCUUGUGUACUUCAUUGUCUUUCAGAAUAUAGAGAUUUUACAUGAAAAAUAUUUCCGGCUUUGGUUCUGGUCAGUGUUUUCUAGGGAUAUUGCUCAGCAAUUGGAUCACUUUUUUUCUCUAUUAUAUUGGAACACUUUUCUCCUCCAUUCCUUUAUGUAAGUAGGCGUCUCCAACAUAACUGAAUAAAUCGUGCUAGUUCAACUCAACUGAAUUUAUUUCCAUCAACUUCUGUCUAUUGCUUUUCCUCUUCUGUGUGUGUGUGUGUGUGUGUGUGUGUUGACUUGUAACAAGGAAUUUGGUGUAUUGAGUUUCACUGGACCCAUUCAUCUACCCAUUCUGUUUGUGGCAUAAAACCAGCAACAAUUAUCUGAGCAAAUGGGGUCAUUCCUUUAACAUGAUGAAUUUUUACUUUCACUACCUGGAAAUGGGUGAGCAGCCCAUGGAAGUGGGCCAUUUGGGCAGUGUGCUGAUUGCCCAGUUCUCUGCAUCACCCCAAGACUGCCUGCUGAUUGCCUUUCUCAACUCCUGCCGUGCCUGGAAAGUAAAGGGAAAAUCACCAAGGGGAAGCUUUUUAGCCAGCAAGGAAAACCUGAAGCUCCCUGAAGUUGGCACUGCUGUGGGUUUUGCCACUCUUCUUCUGUCCAUCAGCGUUUGUGUCUGUGAAGUACCACUUCCAUUGCUGGCACGGCAAAGAUUUGAGUUUUCUCUUGAUUUCUUGUGACUGGUGGAAAGCCUGCCCUGCUGCAGCCCUUUGGCCAACGUGACACUGUCUGUCUUUGGAAGGCUGUGCGUCAGGUCUACCUUGCUAGGGAGCAGGUUUUCUUCACAAGAAUGCACCGUCUUUCCAAACAUGUAUCUGCUGGCUUCCUCUAGAGAGGAACAUAAAUGCUGACCUACUUCAUAACCAAAGUUCUUGCAUUUGGACACUUUUAGUCUCAGAAAUAUUGUUUAUGUUACACUCCCUCCCCUUUAAGUUUUUUGCCUUUUCGAUAUUCCUUUCUCUUUCUUAGUGUCUAGAUCAGUGCUAUAAGGAUUGUUGCUGGAAUACAGUUUUCAAGUCCUUUUAUUUGCAUUUCAAAACUACCUUCUGUAAUCAGUCACUGUGUCUGUCCAAAUGCACCCAGAACGUCAAGACACUGAUGGACAAACAGAGAAAUUGCCUGAGAUGAGAUGGAAGAGAUCUGAAGCUUCCCUCUUUCAUUCAAAAUGUUAACAGCUCAUUUUAAAAGCCACCUGGGGAAUGCUGAUCAGCACUAAUUUUAGAUUAAUGGGAUCCAGUGUCAUAAGAAGGGGAGGAUCUCUCUCUCUCUCUCUCUUUUUUUUUUUUUUUUAAGCAGGGAGUGUGAGUGAGCAUCACAGACAAGAAAUGGAGGAAGGCCCUAGGCAAAAGGAAGUUAUAGAUUAAACUAGUUUAUAGCUGCCCUUCUCCACUGAAGUCAAUGACCACUGGCUUGUUCUCUGAAAGAGUAAUUUUAUACUCUGGCAAUAGCACUUAAACUAUGCUCAUGCUCCACUCACUGAAUUAAACAUUGUUUAAUGAAAACUAAUCCUAUCCAUUAUGUCUUUAAAGACUGCUCUGUCAUAUAUAUUCCAAGAAUAUAUAUGACAUGUCUAUAUUCCAAGAAUAUAAUUACUGACCAAAUUGAAGAAUGGAAGGUAUGGCCCAGGGCUCUGUUCCCCAAAUAAAAUGUUAGCACUGAGUUCUUCAGCACUGACUGGAGGCAGUUUAUAUUGAAGGCCUUAGUAAAACUCCCAGCUCUGAGCCCAAGCUGGGCACGUUUCAAAAAUCCCACCUCAGUCAUUUUUAACAGGAAGGGGUGUCCCUGUUUGAGUCACCUUACCAGGGACUGGAAACAGUGUUAGUGUGGAGAGUUAGAACAGCACAAAAGCUGGCAGGUACGUUAGUGCAAAUGCAAACAGUUAGUAUUUGCAGGUUACACCAGAACAGUGAGGUAUUUAUAUUUAAAAUGCUUUCCAAUUUAGUAGUAGGGUUUGUGUUUUUAUGGGCUUGGGGGAAUUUUGUUGUGGUACAUAUGAAGUUACUUUUUUUGGCCCACCCCUGCUUUCUAUAGAGAACAGUUCUACAAAAACCAAAAAUACAAGAACGCUGGCAGAGCCCUGAUACUCAAAACCAGGCUACUAACAAUUGUUUAUACCUUUAGUCAACGACAGUUCUGUUUUGUUUUGUUUUUUAACAAAGAACAAACAUGGCCCAAAAAUGAAACAUCAGGAAAAGAGGAAAUGCUGUUUACAAAAUCAUCUGGUAUCUGUUACACGAACCUAAAAUUUUCACCAAAGACUAGGAAGACGUUCCAGUGGCAUCUGUUUCUUGUGCAUCUGCAUCGCUGCAGUCAGUCCUGCUGCGGUGGUGAUGGGCCUUGUGUCCCCACUGGGACAUGGGGAAAUGACUCCGCCUGUGGUCUAUGGUCUUGCAUUCCUGUUUGUGCAAAAUCCCCAUUCAGAAUGUGAAUAAUUAAACAACUGAGGUCAGACUCAUAUAAGCUUGAAAGAUGAUAUAAGAAGAGCUGGGCUGUGAGUGGAAAGGGAAGUGAAGUAAGCACAGCCGUUGUGCUAGUAUUUCAGGUCCUAUAAAACAGGUGUGUUUUUAAGUCCUUAAUGCGCCUGGCUUAACAGGAAUUGGUACCACCUUAUAUUUCUGAUAAUCUUUCACUGGAUGCCAUUUUUCUCUUGCUCCUAAAAAUUUUAGAGGUGACACUAAAUGUAUUUGCUUACAUGCAGGUACAAUUUAUUCUGAACUGCAUUAACACAAAACAUCUUGCUGGCUUUAUAACUACAUACCUCAUCUGUUCUUAUGGAAAAGGUGUGAGAUAAAUCAUCACUGGGAACAUAAUACCAAUAGUGUGGGAGACUGCAGAUUUUGUUUCUACUUGCUGUCGUAUAUUCAGUUUUUUUAUCGUAAGUGCACUUAAACCAUAAUAUAAAGUAUCUGGCUCUUUUUUACACUGUGACCAAACUUAGAUUAAAGCAGUUUUCAUACUGUUGCCCUUAUUUCCAACUUAAGCUGUGACUAAAAAGAAAAUUAUGGGAUAUUUAAAUAUAUCAGUACAGAAUAUGGACUAAAAUAUAUGUUAAAGUGCACUUUUGGUUAUUUUUAUCAACUGUUUAGCUAUCUGUCAUUCAACUUUUCUUCUAUACUGCAGAGCUGAGAAGUGAUUUGAGUUUAAACACUCAAGUAUGCAAACAUUGUCUUAAUUUGCUUUGAAGGUACUAGACUGAGAAAUGCAGUUACUAUAUAUGCUUUCUGCCAUGCUUUUGUUUUCAGGAACUGUGUUUAACAGUUUGAACAAUGUAAAAUGUUGUUAAUAUAAGGCUCAUUGGGAAAUAAAUGUCUGUGCGAA